This 2632-nucleotide long non-coding RNA is filed under the name Panax ginseng (ginseng). RNAcentral describes it as "long non-coding RNA (PGIN_LNC006255)". Lineage: Eukaryota; Viridiplantae; Streptophyta; Magnoliopsida; Apiales; Araliaceae. The record is from RNAcentral.
UGAAAAGAGUCUAAACCAUGUUUGACCAUAUUCGGCCCAUGAAGCUCAGAAAAAAGCUGGAAAAAUAAAUUGACUGUGACAAUGAAAUCUUUCAAAAAGCAAUAAUUCUGCAUGAUUAGACAAUUACCAGGGUGUCCCCAUUCCCCAUCUGCAUAUUUAAGUCUGAUGGGAAGCAUUCCCUUUAGAAUACAUCAGAUAGUGAGCAACUGAGCAUAGAUUGCAUAACAUAAACCAGAGGUAAAACACUUUCUCAGUCUCUCAUGAUUGCGCCCCAAAAAACAUAUAUUGGUCAUAUUGUAUCAUGAACCAAUUUGGAUUGAUCAUACAUUAAUUAUUUUUGCGGAAGUUAAAGGUUGACUUUGUGUGGAAGAAGGUGAAGCCAUCCAUGUGCUCCUAGCUUAAAUAUGGAUGUAACCCAUAAUUUAGCACUACAUAAAAAGGAACAAAAAUGUUAAAGAAAAUAUGAGGGUAGAUCAUAGGUUAAACCAACAAUAGACUAGAACAUGAUCCAGAAGCUUCAGACGUGAAGACAUCAAACAACCAAUACACAUCAGAGCAUCACGUUAAAUAAAAUUAAUUGCAGAUCGAACACCAUGCAUUAUCAGAGUGAAGGAAUAAAUCUUCAGAAGAUAACAAUAAACAAAAAGAUAUGGAGGACCUUUAUAGUCCAAUAUUUUUUUGAAGAAAACUAAUAUACGUUCACAAAUCUUCAAAACCGUUUACAAAGAACAGGAGGAAACAACUGAAUUUAAGAAAAUGGUUUUUGACAAGUUACCACAAGUCAUCUUGCAUCACUACAUUUUUUGUUACAAUGGAACUCGCAGCCACUACUCUAUGGGUGUGCCAACCACUCAACGGGUAAUCUCAAAGUAUACUAUAUGGUGGCCUUUUGCGUAUGCCAUGAAAAGCACUUUUUACUAGGCUCACGACCGAUUCAACUAACCCUUGGGGGGGGGGGGGUAACAUGCAUCACUUAACGUCAAAAUACCAAUCAGCUAAUCAAAAUGAACUGCAACAAAAAUGGUCAAGUUUUAAAAAAGAUGAGCCACUUAUGCGAAGAUAUUAGCAUAAUUAACUUGAGACAACUCCAGGCAUCCUCUUUUCUUUUUGUAAUUUUUCUUUUAUAUUUGAGUUAAAUUAGGCUAUUAGUCAGUCUAACAAACAUACUUCUUAGUUUUUUACACUGAUGAUAGAAGCAAAAACUCGGGUUCAAAAAAAACUUAAAGUAACUAGAUAACCUUUUCUUGAAUUUUGAUGGGGUAAUUCACAGUAAACUCAUGUAGCUUGAAGUUGUAGGUUCAACAGUAGUUUGCAAAAAGAAGAAAGUUCGGUACAAAACGACAUUGAUAUUGAUCAACAAUAAGUUCCCUAAUGCUACGUUUGGAUUGAAUGAAUGGAAUGAUUCAUUCCAUUCCAGUUGGAAUGAGUUAUUCCAUACUCUCCCUCCCCCAAAGAAAAAAUUCAUAAAUUAGGGAGGAAUAAGAAUGGUUCAAUUCAUUCCAAUCGCAACCAAACACAAUUUUUUUCAUUCCAUAAGAAUGAAUUAUUCCAUUACUACCUUCAUUACUCUAAUCCAAAUGUAGCAUAAGACUUAUACCAUGACAGUGAAUCAAAAAUUGAAAUUUCAAAACUGUACAAGUUAACUGGGAAAUACAUACAACAUGAAAAAGAUAGAAGGUACAAUGAGUACGCAUACAGAGAAAAGAAAGUGGGGAAAACAAGCAAAAUAAUAAAGAAUGCUGGUUUACAGUCACUUCAAGCAUGCAUGAACAAAUCCCUUACAAAUCUUCAGAUGCUAAAACAGUUUUCAAGUAUAUAAUAUAAUGAAUCCAUUUUGAGCACAAAGGAUAGUACAUGAGAAGUCUGGUGUUCCAACAGUCCCUCGAGAGGACUGUUGAUAGAUGAAAAUCAUUAUGCAGAUGCACAUCUACGUACCUUGUUGAUGCCAGUUCUUUUAUCCUUGUGAAGAACAACCUCAACAUUAUUUUCAUGUCCUCCAAACAAGGAGUGAAUUUGACAUCAAAGAAGGAAUUAUUAAUACUAGUACAGAAAUAUAAAGUUCACAAGCACAGGUAACAGUGAGAAUAUUGAGGGCCAAAUUUUAAAUGCAUGUAACAUCAUUAUAUUAUCAUCUUUAUUUAAUUUAUAUAUCCUUCAUAAAUCACAUGAUUAUAUUUAUAACAAGCAAUGAUUAGAGAAGAUGCGAUGAUAAACUUGUGUGCAGUUUGCACAUGCUAGAUAUAGUGGAUGAAAGUUGUAGGAAAAACUACGCUGAUUAAUUAAGAAGAAAAUCAUAUAAUGCUGUUAUUAUCAGACAAACCGGUUAAUUUAUCACAUUGAAGGCAUUGAGAUACUACUAACAUCUUUCCCAUCCAAUUUAAAAGUUUCAACUCGGCAACAUUAUUGAGAUUCAGAUGAAAAACCUUGAAUGAAAAUUCCAAGUUAAUAACAAAUGGAGUAUCUAACAACGAAAUUGAAGUUAGAAUUAUGGUUAGUAUCUUUUGCCUUGUAAAAGUUAAUCAAAUUUAGAGCAAAGGCUACUAUCAUAUACCCUGUCCUUUCCAAAAUGAGGUUCUCAUCCCACUAUUAGAAAAUCAUAUACAUUUUUUUAAGUACUAAUUUAACAACUUAC